Molecule: ribosomal RNA, 587 nt
Filed under: uncultured bacterium
Lineage: Bacteria
Description: bacterial SSU rRNA
Rfam family: Bacterial small subunit ribosomal RNA
Source: RNAcentral
CCUACGGGAGGCAGCAGUGGGGAAUUUUGGACAAUGGGCGAAAGCCUGAUCCAGCAAUGCCGCGUGAGUGAAGAAGGCCUUCGGGUUGUAAAGCUCUUUUGUCAGGGAAGAAACGGUGAAGGCUAAUAUCUUUUGCUAAUGACGGUACCUGAAGAAUAAGCACCGGCUAACUACGUGCCAGCAGCCGCGGUAAUACGUAGGGUGCAAGCGUUAAUCGGAAUUACUGGGCGUAAAGCGUGCGCAGGCGGUUUUGUAAGUCUGAUGUGAAAUCCCCGGGCUCAACCUGGGAAUUGCAUUGGAGACUGCAAGGCUAGAAUCUGGCAGAGGGGGGUAGAAUUCCACGUGUAGCAGUGAAAUGCGUAGAUAUGUGGAGGAACACCGAUGGCGAAGGCAGCCCCCUGGGUCAAGAUUGACGCUCAUGCACGAAAGCGUGGGGAGCAAACAGGAUUAGAUACCCUGGUAGUCCACGCCCUAAACGAUGUCUACUAGUUGUCGGGUCUUAAUUGACUUGGUAACGCAGCUAACGCGUGAAGUAGACCGCCUGGGGAAGUACGGUCGCAAGAUUAAAACUUCAAAGGAAUUGACGG